GUAAAAGCAAUGAAGGGAAGAGUAAUUAUAAUACAGAGUUAAAGCGAGCUGGUUAUGGUGUGAGUCCAGUACAAAGUAUAUAAUGAAGAACCUCCCAGAGCUACUAACCGAAAUCUAAUAGAGAGUAGACUUAGUCGGAACCAAGCCGUUACCUACUUGGCGAUAUAUUAUUUAGUAUAUUGAAUGAGUUGAACUUUUAUUAAAGUUAAAUUAGGUGGUACCGCGGAAGUCUAGCCUUUCGUCCUAUUU
Terrisporobacter sp. is the source of this 249-nucleotide regulatory RNA element. It matches the Rfam family "T-box leader". Rfam says of the family: Uncharged tRNA acts as the effector for transcription antitermination of genes in the T-box leader family. T-boxes are found upstream of many aminoacyl-tRNA synthetase genes and some amino acid biosynthetic genes usually in Gram-positive bacteria. The record is from Rfam. NCBI's taxonomy places the organism in Bacteria, Bacillati, Bacillota, Clostridia, Peptostreptococcales, Peptostreptococcaceae.